UGGGGAAUAUUGCACAAUGGGCGGAAGCCUGAUGCAGCGACGCCGCGUGAGGGAUGACGGCCUUCGGGUUGUAAACCUCUUUCGACAGGGACGAAGCGUGAGUGACGGUACCUGGAGAAGAAGCGCCGGCCAACUACGUGCCAGCAGCCGCGGUAAGACGUAGGGCGCGAGCGUUGUCCGGAUUUAUUGGGCGUAAAGAGCUCGUAGGCGGCUCGUUGCGUCGGCUGUGAAAACCCGCAGCUCAACUGUGGGCUUGCAGCUGAUACGGGCGGGCUGGGAUUCGGUAGGGGAGACUGGAAUUCCUGGUGUAGCGGUGAAAUGCGCAGAUAUCAGGAGGAACACCGGUGGCGAAGGCGGGUCUCUGGGCCGAUAUCGACGCUGAGGAGCGAAAGCGUGGGGAGCGAACAG
RNAcentral lists this ribosomal RNA (408 nucleotides) under uncultured bacterium. RNAcentral describes it as "bacterial SSU rRNA". It matches the Rfam family "Bacterial small subunit ribosomal RNA", at positions 355 to 775 of the family's 1533-position model. The record is from RNAcentral.